CCUACGGGCGGCAGCAGUGGGGGAUAUUGCACAAUGGGGGAAACCCUGAUGCAGCGACACCGCGUGGGUGAAGAAGCGCUUCGGCGUGUAAAGCCCUAUCAGUGGGGAAGAAAAAGGACGGUACCCAAAGAAGAAGCACCGGCUAAAUACGUGCCAGCAGCCGCGGUAAUACGUAUGGUGCAAGCGUUAUCCGGAAUGACUGGGUGUAAAGGGAGCGUAGACGGUUGUACAAGUCUGAUGUGAAAGCCCACGGCUCAACUGUGGGAGUGCAUUGGAAACUGUAGAACUAGAGUAUCGGAGAGGCAAGUGGAAUUCCUAGUGUAGCGGUGAAAUGCGUAGAUAUUAGGAGGAACACCAGUGGCGAAGGCGGCUUGCUGGACGAAAACUGACGUUGAGGCUCGAAAGCGUGGGGAGCAAACAGGAUUAGAUACCCCGGUA
This 438-nucleotide ribosomal RNA is filed under the name uncultured bacterium. Its description in RNAcentral is "bacterial SSU rRNA". It matches the Rfam family "Bacterial small subunit ribosomal RNA", at positions 338 to 792 of the family's 1533-position model. The record is from RNAcentral.